RNAcentral lists this ribosomal RNA (497 nucleotides) under uncultured bacterium. Its description in RNAcentral is "partial 16S ribosomal RNA". It matches the Rfam family "Bacterial small subunit ribosomal RNA", at positions 28 to 507 of the family's 1533-position model. The record is from RNAcentral.
GAUGAACGCUGGCGGCGUGCCUAAUACAUGCAAGUCGAGCGAACAGACGAGGAGCUUGCUCCUCUGACGUUAGCGGCGGACGGGUGAGUAACACGUGGAUAACCUACCUAUAAGACUGGGAUAACUUCGGGAAACCGGAGCUAAUACCGGAUAAUAUAUUGAACCGCAUGGUUCAAUAGUGAAAGACGGUUUUGCUGUCACUUAUAGAUGGAUCCGCGCCGCAUUAGCUAGUUGGUAAGGUAACGGCUUACCAAGGCAACGAUGCGUAGCCGACCUGAGAGGGUGAUCGGCCGCACUGGAACUGAGACACGGUCCAGACUCCUACGGGAGGCAGCAGUAGGGAAUCUUCCGCAAUGGGCGAAAGCUUGACGGAGCAACGCCGCGUGAGUGAUGAAGGUCUUCGGAUCGUAAAACUCUGUUAUUAGGGAAGAACAAAUGUGUAAGUAACUAUGCACGUCUUGACGGUACCUAAUCAGAGAGCCACGGCUAACUACGUG